RNAcentral lists this ribosomal RNA (455 nucleotides) under uncultured anaerobic ammonium-oxidizing bacterium. RNAcentral describes it as "bacterial SSU rRNA". It matches the Rfam family "Bacterial small subunit ribosomal RNA", at positions 381 to 826 of the family's 1533-position model. The record is from RNAcentral.
GGGUGACGAAGCGACGCCGCGUGGGUGAGGAAGGCCCUCGGGUUGUAAAGCCCUGUCAGGAGUUAAGAAAUGUAAGUGCGCUAAUAUCGCAUUUAUUUGACGAAGGCUCCAAAGGAAGCCACGGCUAACUCUGUGCCAGCAGCCGCGGUAAUACAGAGGUGGCAAGCGUUGUUCGGAAUUAUUGGGCGUAAAGAGCACGUAGGUGGGUUUGUAAGUCAGAUGUGAAAGCCUUCUGUUCAACGGAAGAAUUGCAUCUGAAACUACAAGUCUUGAGUGUAGGAGGGGAGAAUGGAACUUCUGGUGGAGCGGUGAAAUGCGUAGAUAUCAGAAGGAACGCCGGCGGCGAAAGCGAUUCUCUGGCCUAUUACUGACACUCAGUGUGCGAAAGCUAGGGGAGCAAACGGGAUUAGAUACCCCGGUAGUCCUAGCCGUAAACGAUGGGCACUAAGUAGAGG